RNAcentral lists this microRNA precursor (115 nucleotides) under Podarcis lilfordi (Lilford's wall lizard). Lineage: Eukaryota; Metazoa; Chordata; Lepidosauria; Squamata; Lacertidae. The record is from RNAcentral.
GUGUGAGAGAGAGAGAGAGAGAGAGAGAGAGAGAGAGAUUUUGUUUCUGCUUGCCUGCCUGCCUGCCUGCCUACGUGCCUCUCUCUCUCUCUCUCUCUCUCUCUCUCUCUCCCUC